GAUGAAGAACGCAGCGAAAUGCGAUAAGUAAUGUGAAUUGCAGAAUUCAGUGAAUCAUCGAAUCUUUGAACGCACAUUGCGCCCGCCAGCAUUCUGGCGGGCAUGCCUGUUCGAGCGUCAUUUCAACCCUCGAGCCCCCCCGGGGGCCUCGGUGUUGGGGGACGGCACACCAGCCGCCCCCGAAAUGCAGUGGCGACCUCGCCGCAGCCUCCCCUGCGUAGUAGCACACACCUCGCACCGGAGCGGGGAGACGGUCACGCCGUAAAACGCCCAACUUCUUAGAGUUGACCUCGGAUCAGGUAGGAAUACCCGCUGAACUUAAGCAUAUCAAUAAGCGGAGGA
RNAcentral lists this unclassified non-coding RNA (342 nucleotides) under soil metagenome. RNAcentral's name for it is "partial contains 5.8S ribosomal RNA, internal transcribed spacer 2, and large subunit ribosomal RNA". The stretch from base 1 to 120 matches the Rfam family "5.8S ribosomal RNA", at positions 35 to 154 of the family's 154-position model. The record is from RNAcentral.